Molecule: ribosomal RNA, 552 nt
Filed under: Trichacis sp. OSUC 372850
Lineage: Eukaryota; Metazoa; Arthropoda; Insecta; Hymenoptera; Platygastridae
Description: SSU rRNA
Rfam family: Eukaryotic small subunit ribosomal RNA
Source: RNAcentral
AUGUAAGGAAGGCAGCAGGCGCGCAAAUUACCCACUCCCGGCACGGGGAGGUAGUGACGAAAAAUAGCGAUACGGGACUCAUCCGAGGCCCCGUAAUCGGAAUGAGUACACUUUAAAUCCUUUAACAAGGAUCCAUUGGAGGGCAAGUCUGGUGCCAGCAGCCGCGGUAAUUCCAGCUCCAAUAGCGUAUAUUAAAGUUGUUGCGGUUAAAAAGCUCGUAGUUGAAUCUGUGUGCCACGCUGUCGGUUCACCGCUCGCGGUGUUACUGAUUGGCCAGUGGUACGUCCUACCGGUGGAUUUUGCUCGCGCCUUCGGGUGCGGGCGGUCCAAAUUGAAUCCCAUCGCGGUGCUCUUCACCGAGUGUCGAGGUGGGCCGGUACUUUUACUUUGAACAAAUUAGAGUGCUCAAAGCAGGCCUAAAAUAAGCCUGAAUAAUCUGUGCAUGGAAUAAUGGAAUAGGACCUCGGUUCUAUUUUGUUGGUUUUAAGAGCCCCGAGGUAAUGAUUAAUAGGGACCAGAUGGGGGCAUUUGUAUUGCGACGUUAGAGGUGAA